UCUCCUGUAGUUCAAUGGUAGAAUACUCCGCUGUUAACGGAGGGGUUGUAGGUUCGAAUCCUACCGGGAGAG
This 72-nucleotide transfer RNA is filed under the name Candidatus Magasanikbacteria bacterium CG10_big_fil_rev_8_21_14_0_10_40_10. RNAcentral's name for it is "tRNA-Asn". It matches the Rfam family "tRNA". Rfam says of the family: Transfer RNA (tRNA) molecules are approximately 80 nucleotides in length. Their secondary structure includes four short double-helical elements and three loops (D, anti-codon, and T loops). The record is from RNAcentral. Lineage: Bacteria; Candidatus Magasanikiibacteriota.